RNAcentral lists this ribosomal RNA (426 nucleotides) under uncultured prokaryote. Its description in RNAcentral is "bacterial SSU rRNA". It matches the Rfam family "Bacterial small subunit ribosomal RNA", at positions 355 to 796 of the family's 1533-position model. The record is from RNAcentral.
UGGGGAAUUUUCCGCAAUGGGGGCAACCCUGACGGAGCAACGCCGCGUGCGGGAGGAAGGCCUUUGGGUUGUAAACCGCUUUUCUCAGGGAAGAAGCUCUGACGGUACCUGAGGAAUCAGCCUCGGCUAACUCCGUGCCAGCAGCCGCGGUAAUACGGAGGAGGCAAGCGUUAUCCGGAAUCAUUGGGCGUAAAGCGUUCGCAGGCGGCGAUUCAAGUCUGCUGUCAAAGCCCGCAGCUCAACUGCGGACAGGCAGUGGAAACUGAAUGGCUAGAGUGCGGCAGGGGUAGAGGGAAUUCCCGGUGUAGCGGUGAAAUGCGUAGAUAUCGGGAAGAACACCAGUGGCGAAAGCGCUCUACUGGGCCGCAACUGACGCUCAGGGACGAAAGCUAGGGGAGCGAAAGGGAUUAGAUACCCCCGUAGUCC